RNAcentral lists this ribosomal RNA (494 nucleotides) under uncultured bacterium. RNAcentral describes it as "partial 16S ribosomal RNA". It matches the Rfam family "Bacterial small subunit ribosomal RNA", at positions 28 to 507 of the family's 1533-position model. The record is from RNAcentral.
GACGAACGCUGGCGGCGUGCUUAACACAUGCAAGUCGAACGGUGAAGCGCCUUCCUUUUUGGUGGGUGUGGAUGAGUGGCGCACGGGUGAGUAACACGUGAGUAACCUGCCCCCUUCUUCUGGAUAACCGCAUGAAAGUGUGGCUAAUACGGGAUAUUCUGGGUCUGUCGCAUGAUGGGUCUGGGAAAGAUAUUGUUUCGGUGGGGGAUGGGCUCGCGGCCUAUCAGCUUGUUGGUGGGGUGAUGGCCUACCAAGGCGGUGACGGGUAGCCGGCCUGAGAGGGUGGACGGUCACACUGGGACUGAGACACGGCCCAGACUCCUACGGGAGGCAGCAGUGGGGAAUAUUGCACAAUGGGCGCAAGCAUGAUGCAGCGACGCCGCGUGAGGGAUGGAGGCCUUCGGGUUGUGAACCUCUUUCGCCAGUGAAGCAGGCCUGCCUCGUUUGUGGGUGGGUUGACGGUAGCUGGAUAAGAAGCGCCGGCUAAGUACGUG